GGCUCAGAAUGAACGUUGGCGGCGUGGAUUAGGCAUGCAAGUCGUGCGAGAAAUUCCAGCUUGCUGGAAUGGACAGCGGCGAAAGGGAGAGUAAUACGUAGAAAUCUGCCCUCAGGACUGGGAUAGCGUUGGGAAACCGGCGGUAAUACCGGAUAAUGUCUUCGGACCAAAGGUGUGAUUCCGCCUGAGGAUGAGUCUACGACCUAUUAGCUAGUUGGAGGGGUAAAAGCCCACCAAGGCGACGAUGGGUAGCGGGUGUGAGAGCAUGGCCCGCCUCACUGGGACUGAGACACUGCCCAGACAUCUACGGAUGGCUGCAGUCGAGAAUCUUUGUCAAUGGACGAAAGUCUGAACAAGCGACGCCGCGUGCGGGAUGAAGGCCCUCGGGUUGUAAACCGCUGUCGUAAGGGAGCAAAUCUAUUGGGGUUAUCCCCUUUAGUUGAGCGAUCUUAGGAGGAAGGACGGGCUAAGUUCGUGCCAGCAGCCGCGGUAAGACGAACCGUCCGAACGUUAUUCGGUAUCACUGGGCUUAAAGAGUUCGUAGGCGGCCAUGUAGGUGAGAUGUGAAAUCCCACGGCUCAACCGUGGAACUGCGUUUCAAACCACAUGGCUUGAGGGAGAUAGAGGUGAGCGGAACAGAUGGUGGAGCGGUGAAAUGCGUUGAUAUCAUCUGGAACACCGGUGGCGAAAGCGGCUCACUGGAUCUCUUCUGACGCUCAGGAACGAAAGCUAGGGUAGCGAAC
Molecule: ribosomal RNA, 743 nt
Filed under: uncultured Planctomycetales bacterium
Lineage: Bacteria; Pseudomonadati; Planctomycetota; Planctomycetia; Planctomycetales
Description: bacterial SSU rRNA
Rfam family: Bacterial small subunit ribosomal RNA
Source: RNAcentral